Molecule: long non-coding RNA, 1582 nt
Filed under: Homo sapiens (human)
Lineage: Eukaryota; Metazoa; Chordata; Mammalia; Primates; Hominidae
Description: HSALNT0019591
Source: RNAcentral
AUUUUGACUGGCUUCCAGAUGCAGUGACCCAUGAGGUUAAUACUGACCAUGGUGAUGUUAACUGUCCUAGUAAAUAGAUUCAAGAGAUGCCAAUCCACUGGGUUCUGGUUUUCUUUAUUUUAUCCAACUUGGAAAACCAUGAACUUUUCAAACCAAGUUCCUGAAUUGGUUACCCUUCCCCCACUUCUCCCAGUUUCCUUAUACUCCAACAUUAUUUGAAACUGCUUAACCCUCAAGAAAAUAUUUGACUUCAAAAGAUCACUUUACAGACAGAGAGAGUUCUGUGAAAUCUUUUCUUUCUGAAAAUUCUUGGUAUAAAUUUAAGGAAAAUUAUAUUUUUCAUAUCACCUCUUCAUUAUAAAAUUAAAAUAUUCUGUAUUUUCUGUUAUCUUGAAGGAAUGUUUCCUGGAGAGUUUAUUCCCACUAAAAACUGCUUUUAAGUGGUAAUGAGAACAUGGAGUCUUUCUGCUACUGUACAUAUACGUGCAAGAGGGAGGAGACAUACUAAAAAGCACAAAGGCAAACUUCAGCCCAUUCAUGACUUGCACUCAUAUUUGGCUCAAUGUUUUCCAACCAUGGUAUACAUUUUAAUGAACAAGGAGACUGGAUAGAGGAUUUUGGUGGCUGACUAAACACAAAAGACAUAGUGAUUUCCAAUGUAUCAAGGUUGAUCUUUUUUAAAUAAUCUAAUUUCUCAACAGAAAGAGUGCUGAAAAGGAUUUAACUAAGCUUAGGUCACAGAAGUGUCCAUAAGGUUCUCUCAGCAUAUCUUGUGUUGACUGUUUGUAAGAACAUGCAGCAUUCAAGAUACUACUACUCAGAAUAAAUGGCAUCACCUACCUCUUGCUCUCUGGUGAACAUUUGACUUACAAAAGCAAUUUACAUAUCUCUUCUUUUCAGCCAUAUACCUAGAUUUUGAGAAUUUUAUUCUCUUAGAAUUAUAGUUUCCUAGAUAUAGAAAAAGAUUCAUUCUAUGACUGAAUUUUUAACACAAUUGUACCUGCCAAAUGUAGUGGCUCAAAUCUCUGCUCAAACACCUUCACAAAUAGAGAGAUCACUCACUCCAUCUUGCCAAAAAUUGCCCAAAAGUUAUUUCCUUAUAUUGAAAUAGAAUAGGAUUUGCCCGUAGCUUUCCUUCAUUGACCUUGUUGCAUUUCUGGAACACAUGCAAAUAAAAAUCUCAACUUGCCUGCUGCUUGAGAAUACUUAAUAUCUGAAGAAAAGUAUCUCGAGCCAUCUAAACCAUCACUUCUAUUCAGGCUAAACAUCCUGUUUCUUCUAAUGUUUGCCAUAUGACAUAGUUUUCCGACACUUCAUCAGCUGCUUGCAGGUUUUGGAAUAUAUUUGCUUCUUUGUAUUCCUUCUAAGAUGUGAUGUCUGUAUGUGCUGGAUGAUACAGUGACACACAGGGCCAUAACCUCCCUUAUUCUAGAUAAUGUGCUUCUGUUUUUCAGCUUAAUACAACAUUGACUUUUUGGCAGCCACACUUCGUGAUUGCGUCACUUUGUAUCAUUGUCACUCAUGAUGCCACAUAGUCCUGUUUCUCCCACUCUAAUCUUAUAAACGCACAUUUAGAUCGAAG